Molecule: ribosomal RNA, 255 nt
Filed under: uncultured bacterium
Lineage: Bacteria
Description: partial 16S ribosomal RNA
Rfam family: Bacterial small subunit ribosomal RNA
Source: RNAcentral
CGAACGGGUGAGUAAUACAUCGGAACGUGUCCGCUCGUGGGGGGACAACCAGCCGAAAGGUUGGCUAAUACCGCAUGAGUUCUACGGAAGAAAGAGGGGGACCCGCAAGGGCCUCUCGCGAGCGGAGCGGCCGAUGACUGAUUAGCCGGUUGGUGAGGUAACGGCUCACCAAAGCAACGAUCAGUAGCUGGUCUGAGAGGACGACCAGCCACACUGGGACUGAGACACGGCCCAGACUCCUACGGAAGGCAGCAG